This 407-nucleotide long non-coding RNA is filed under the name Ananas comosus (pineapple). RNAcentral's name for it is "long non-coding RNA (ACOM_LNC026469)". Lineage: Eukaryota; Viridiplantae; Streptophyta; Magnoliopsida; Poales; Bromeliaceae. The record is from RNAcentral.
GGAGUUCCUCUGCUGCUACUUCCUCUCUCUCACUCUCAAACCGAUCAUAGGCUAGGGAGGAGCUCGGUUGGGGAAUUCGUCGCCGACGUCGCGCCGCGAAGCCAUUCGAGCACACUUUCGACGUCGUGUUGCUGCAAGGAGGUCGGGCGAGUGCGGCUUUUCGCCAUCCUUGACGUCGUGCUGAUUCUAGGUACAUGUUGAAGUGUUUUAUCUGUGGGCAUUCCUCCAAGUACUUCAAUUCCGUUAAUUUCGAGCUCGGGUGCUACUGCUGCAGAUUUCUGCGUCGACUGUCGGUAUUUUGGCUCGUACGCGACGUAGGAGUAUCGGAUUGCGACGAGACUUGGUUCGUUGGAUUCGGGACUUCGAGAGGAAUCCACGAAGCCCUUACUUGCGAAUUUUGGUGAAGG